UCUAAACUUGUAUUUGUUUACAGCAAGCCAAGACAGCGGUUAAGCUGGAAACUGCCAGCUCUGUUCCCACCUUUGUUUGAAAUCCGGAAGCUGAGCAAGUCCAAGCUGGUCAAUUGUGCUACAGGUACAAGGUGAGCCAUUUUCAAUGGAAAUCAACACAGGAUCGGUUGUCACAAUCACGUCAGAGGAGGGGUGGAAGAAAAAGCUUGGAGGCAUUCCACUCAAGACAACAUCCAAGGUGCUAAAGACUGUUACUGAAGUUGCCGACACUCAAGUUGAUUAAUUAAGUUCAACUCCAGCGUCCAAACCAGAAGUGUUCAGAGUUUACUAAAAGAACAUACUAUUUAUCGACAAAUCAAAUAUCAAAUCCAGGAGUCAAAUAUCUGGAAGUAAACUGUGGAAGAGAAACUUAUCGAAAGUGUAUAUAGGUACGAUGGCUUGCAGCAGAUCAAGUCACAGGAGCACAAAGAUGCGAGGUGCAAAGAAAAUGCUUCGAAAAAGGUAUCAGAAGAAACCGGGCUCCCAGGAGCAGACUGCCAAAUAAUAUGCGCCUUCGCGACAAGUUCGUGAGGGAGGAAAAGAAAACCAUAUCACAGACUUCAUGGUAAACAAAGGUGAUGAGCAUGUGUAUAGUGGCUCGUCGCUGACUCUCAUCAAAUGAUAUUAUACACGGUACUGCAUCAGCAUCAGCAUUUUGACACCUACUCUGUGUCUUCACCAGCGUUCUCACCAGUGUCAUCAGCAUCACAUUGCAAACUAGCCAUUAGAUUUGCCAGUCCAGUUCAGUUAUGAUCAUGAUCGUAUUUAUUUCAGUCGGUUGAACUGGUUUCAUGUCUAAAUAUCCAAGCAUAAAAUUUUAGCGACUCUGGUCUUAUAGCAGACACAGAAUUUCCUCCCCAUGACACCUAGUUGUGCAGGUAUGAUAAAAGUACAGACACUUGCAAGCUGUUCCUAUAAUUGACUCUUACAUAACUGUUAAAAUAAAUGCACCAGUAUAACGAUACAUGACAAACUUGCACAUCAAGGCAAUGAAAUUGCAAUGUCCCUUAAUUAUUCACUCCACGCACAUUGUCAA
This is a long non-coding RNA of Corticium candelabrum, 1075 nucleotides long. RefSeq lists it as uncharacterized. The transcript is spliced from 3 exons. NCBI's taxonomy places the organism in Eukaryota, Metazoa, Porifera, Homoscleromorpha, Homosclerophorida, Plakinidae. The record is from RefSeq and is a predicted model, not a curated record.